This 519-nucleotide small RNA is filed under the name Pan troglodytes (chimpanzee). RNAcentral describes it as "retained intron". The record is from RNAcentral. Lineage: Eukaryota; Metazoa; Chordata; Mammalia; Primates; Hominidae.
UCCCUACCUCAGAGAUUCUGUCAGGGGGUGUUUAUAUUGAGAAGAACGAUAAGCUUUGUCACAUGGACACAAUUGACUGGAGGGACAUCGUGAGGGACCGAGAUGCUGAGAUAGUGGUGAAGGACAAUGGCAGAAGCUGUCCGCCCUGUCAUGAGGUUUGCAAGGGGCGAUGCUGGGGUCCUGGAUCAGAAGACUGCCAGACAUGUGGGUUUGAAAUUCCCUCCAAAAACUUCACUCAUACGCUUUCAUAUCCCUUCCUCCCCAAGCCUGGGUCAACACUGUGGGGGAGGCAUGAGCAGUGGCCUCAGACUUCAGUCCUAGGAGCCCUAACAGCCAUGCUUUCUCUCCUUCCAUAGUGACCAAGACCAUCUGUGCUCCUCAGUGUAAUGGUCACUGCUUUGGGCCCAACCCCAACCAGUGCUGCCAUGAUGAGUGUGCCGGGGGCUGCUCAGGCCCUCAGGACACAGACUGCUUUGCCUGCCGGCACUUCAAUGACAGUGGAGCCUGUGUACCUCGCUG